Molecule: ribosomal RNA, 253 nt
Filed under: uncultured bacterium
Lineage: Bacteria
Description: partial 16S ribosomal RNA
Rfam family: Bacterial small subunit ribosomal RNA
Source: RNAcentral
UACGGAAGGGGCAAGCGUUGUUCGGAAUCAUUGGGCGUAAAGGGCGUGUAGGUGGUUUUGUAUGUCUACCGUGAAAGCGUACGGCUCAACCGUAUUUAGUCGGUAGAAACUGCAGGACUUGAGGCUGGGAGGGGCUGGUGGAAUUCCCCGUGUAGCGGUGAAAUGCGUAGAGAUGGGGGAGAACACUCGUGGCGAAGGCGGCCAGCUAGACCAGUUCUGACACUGAGGCGCGACAGCGUGGGGAGCAAACAGG